UCUGGCUCAGGACGAACGCUGGCGGCAUGCCUUACACAUGCAAGUCGAACGAGGAUAGCAAUAUCCGAGUGGCGAACGGGUGAGUAACACAUGAGCAACCUGCCUCAAACUGGGGAAUAACACCGGGAAACUGGUGCUAAUACCGCAUAAGACCACGGCGCGGCAUCGCGCAGGGGUAAAAACGAUUUAGUGGUUUGAGAUGGGCUCAUGUCCCAUUAGCUAGUUGGUGAGAUAACAGCCCACCAAGGCGACGAUGGGUAGCCGACCUGAGAGGGUGAUCGGCCACAUUGGGACUGAGACACGGCCCAGACUCCUACGGGAGGCAGCAGUGGGGAAUAUUGGGCAAUGGGCGAAAGCCCUUACCCAGCAAUGCCGCGUGAGUGAAGAAGGUCUUCGGAUCGUAAAGCUCUUUGAUCAGGGACGAAACAAAUGACGGUACCUGAAGAACGAGCCCCGGCUAACUACGUGCCAGCCGCGGC
RNAcentral lists this ribosomal RNA (479 nucleotides) under uncultured bacterium. RNAcentral describes it as "bacterial SSU rRNA". It matches the Rfam family "Bacterial small subunit ribosomal RNA", at positions 18 to 518 of the family's 1533-position model. The record is from RNAcentral.